RNAcentral lists this ribosomal RNA (256 nucleotides) under uncultured bacterium. RNAcentral's name for it is "partial 16S ribosomal RNA". It matches the Rfam family "Bacterial small subunit ribosomal RNA", at positions 521 to 776 of the family's 1533-position model. The record is from RNAcentral.
UAAAACGUAGGAGGCAAGCGUUAUCCGGAUUUACUGGGCGUAAAGCGCAUGCAGGUGGUUUUGUAAGUUGGAUGUGAAAGCUCCUGGCUUAACUGGGAGAGGUCGUUCAAAACUACAAGACUUGAGAUUGGUAGAGGAAAAUGGAAUUCCGGGUGUAGUGGUGAAAUGCGUAGAUAUCCGGAGGAACACCAGUGGCGAAAGCGGUUUUCUGGACCAAUUCUGACACUCAGAUGCGAAAGCUAAGGUAGCAAACGGG